GAGUGCGGCGCUCUUUGAUGAGCUCAUGUCCUAUCAGCUUGUUGGUAGGGUAACGGCCUACCAAGGCUUUGACGGGUAGCUGGUCUGAGAGGACGAUCAGCCACACUGGCACUGCGACACGGGCCAGACUCCUACGGGAGGCAGCAGUAAGGAAUAUUGCGCAAUGGGCGAAAGCCUGACGCAGCGACGCCGCGUGGGGGAUGAAGGUCUUCGGAUUGUAAACCCCUUUCGGGAGGGAAGAUGGAGCGAGCAAUCGUUCGGACGGUACCUCCAGAAGCAGCCACGGCCAACUUCGUGCCAGCAGCCGCGGUAAUACGAAGGUGGCAAGCGUUGUUCGGAUUCACUGGGCGUACAGGGUGUGUAGGCGGUUUGGUAAGCCUUCUGUUAAAGCUUCGGGCCCAACCCGGAAAGCGCAGAGGGUACUGCCAGGCUAGAGGGUGGGAGAGGAGCGC
This 452-nucleotide ribosomal RNA is filed under the name uncultured Nitrospira sp. RNAcentral's name for it is "bacterial SSU rRNA". It matches the Rfam family "Bacterial small subunit ribosomal RNA", at positions 208 to 662 of the family's 1533-position model. The record is from RNAcentral. Lineage: Bacteria; Pseudomonadati; Nitrospirota; Nitrospiria; Nitrospirales; Nitrospiraceae.